RNAcentral lists this ribosomal RNA (1503 nucleotides) under Vibrio parahaemolyticus. Its description in RNAcentral is "partial 23S ribosomal RNA". It matches the Rfam family "Bacterial large subunit ribosomal RNA", at positions 1 to 1555 of the family's 2925-position model. Lineage: Bacteria; Pseudomonadati; Pseudomonadota; Gammaproteobacteria; Vibrionales; Vibrionaceae. The record is from RNAcentral.
GUUGUAUGGUUAAGUGACUAAGCGUACACGGUGGAUGCCUUGGCAGUCAGAGGCGAUGAAAGACGUAGUAACUUGCGAUAAGCCCAGAUUAGGUAGUAACAACCAUUUGAGUCUGGGAUUUCUGAAUGGGGAAACCCACGUGCAUAAGCACGUAUCCUUACCUGAAUACAUAGGGUAAGGAGGCGAACCGGGGGAACUGAAACAUCUAAGUACCCCGAGGAAAAGAAAUCAACCGAGAUUCCGAAAGUAGCGGCGAGCGAAAUUGGACUAGCCCUUAAGCUUUACACGCGUUAGACGAACGGUCUGGAAAGUCCGACGAUACAGGGUGAUAGUCCCGUAGUUGACGACGUGUGUUCAGUGAAAUCGAGUAGGGCGGGACACGUGAUAUCCUGUCUGAAUAUGGGGGGACCAUCCUCCAAGGCUAAAUACUACUGACUGACCGAUAGUGAACCAGUACCGUGAGGGAAAGGCGAAAAGAACCCCUGUGAGGGGAGUGAAAUAGAACCUGAAACCGUGUACGUACAAGCAGUAGGAGCAGGCUUUGUCCUGUGACUGCGUACCUUUUGUAUAAUGGGUCAGCGACUUAUAUUCAGUGGCAAGGUUAACCAUCUAGGGGAGCCGUAGGGAAACCGAGUCUUAACUGGGCGUUCAGUCUCUGGAUAUAGACCCGAAACCAGGUGAUCUAGCCAUGGGCAGGUUGAAGGUUGAGUAACAUCAACUGGAGGACCGAACCGACUAAUGUUGAAAAAUUAGCGGAUGACUUGUGGCUAGGGGUGAAAGGCCAAUCAAACCUGGAGAUAGCUGGUUCUCCCCGAAAGCUAUUUAGGUAGCGCCUCGGACGAAUACUACUGGGGGUAGAGCACUGUUAAGGCUAGGGGGUCAUCCCGACUUACCAACCCUUUGCAAACUCCGAAUACCAGUAAGUACUAUCCGGGAGACACACGGCGGGUGCUAACGUCCGUCGUGGAGAGGGAAACAACCCAGACCGCCAGCUAAGGUCCCAAAUUACUACUAAGUGGGAAACGAUGUGGGAAGGCUCAGACAGCCAGGAUGUUGGCUUAGAAGCAGCCAUCAUUUAAAGAAAGCGUAAUAGCUCACUGGUCGAGUCGGCCUGCGCGGAAGAUGUAACGGGGCUAAGUAGUAAACCGAAGCUGCGGCAAUGUGCUUUUGCACAUUGGGUAGGGGAGCGUUCUGUAAGCGGUUGAAGGUGUGUGGUAACGCAUGCUGGACGUAUCAGAAGUGCGAAUGCUGACAUGAGUAACGAUAAAGGGGGUGAAAAACCUCCUCGCCGGAAGACCAAGGGUUCCUGUCCAACGUUAAUCGGGGCAGGGUAAGUCGACCCCUAAGGCGAGGCCGAAAGGCGUAGUCGAUGGGAAACGGGUUAAUAUUCCCGUACUUCUUACAAUUGCGAUGGGGGGACGGAGAAGGCUAGGUGGGCCUGGCGACGGUUGUCCAGGUUCAAGUGCGUAGGCUUAAGAGUUAGGUAAAUCCGGCUCUUUUUAA